RNAcentral lists this long non-coding RNA (439 nucleotides) under Oryza sativa (Asian cultivated rice). RNAcentral's name for it is "long non-coding RNA (OSAT_LNC000683)". The record is from RNAcentral. Lineage: Eukaryota; Viridiplantae; Streptophyta; Magnoliopsida; Poales; Poaceae.
AUCAAUUUUGCAGCAAUAGCUAGACAAUCAGCGAGACAAAGUCACAAAACCAUGGCUUCUGCAGAUGCUAUCCUGUCUUCGCAGGUGGCCGGUGAAUGCCUGAAGAUCAACAAGGUCAGUCAGUCACUUCUUCUCACUCAAAUCAACAAAGAUUCUUCACGAAUAUAUAUACAUAUAUUCUUGAUCUUGCACAUGCUGCUGCUGUUGCUGUUCUUGCUCGAUUAGGACCAUUUUACAUCUGUUGAUUUCUUGUGAUUUUGCAGCUGGCAGCAGCAAGCCCAGUGAAAGUAGUGCAGGUGCAGAAGCCGAGCAAAGAGACGAAGAACAUCAGCGGUGCACCUGUAGCUGCCGCUGCCGUCAGGGUGGUUGUGAGCAAGCAAGUGAUGAAGCCACGGUUUGCCGUGGAGCUGGAUGGGCUCAACUGCUUCGAGACACUUGU